Molecule: non-coding RNA, 373 nt
Organism: Erythranthe guttata (spotted monkey flower)
Lineage: Eukaryota; Viridiplantae; Streptophyta; Magnoliopsida; Lamiales; Phrymaceae
Source: RefSeq, a predicted model, not a curated record
GAGCAGUGCUAAUUACCGGGAUUGACAGACCAGCAUUGAUAGCAUACUAAUGAGACAUUUAAGGUUCGAGAUUUGCAGGGGUUUUGCAUUAUCGAGCUGUUGAUUUUCGAUCUAUUAAAGAUCGGAUGGUCCCUUGGUGAAUAGAUCAGGCAAAUUUUUUUCUUAUCGAAGUAGCUUUAGUUUUAUCGUUUUUGCAAAUGCCGUUGUUGCCGAAAAGGUUGUCACGCGUAAAGGCACAUAAUAGAUGGAAGAAUUGUAGGGCGAUAGUUGUUUAGCAAAUCCACGCCAAACCUCAAUGUGUAUAUUUUGUUCGUCAAACUUCUAAAUGAUGUUAUACCUGCAUAGGCAUCUUAGUUUAAUUUAUGACCUCCCA